Non-coding RNA from Pangasianodon gigas (Mekong giant catfish), 72 nucleotides. The record is from the annotation of a GenBank genome assembly. Lineage: Eukaryota; Metazoa; Chordata; Actinopteri; Siluriformes; Pangasiidae.
UAGUUCAGCGGUCAGGGAGCUAGUUCAGCGGUCAGGGAGCUAGUUCAGCGGUCAGGGAGCUAGUUCAGCAGU